AAUUAAUAUAACAAAACUGUUCGCCAGAGAACUACUAGCAAUAGCCUGAAACUCAAAGGACUUGGCGGUGCUUUAUAUCCCUCUAGAGGAGCCUGUCCUAUAAUCGAUAAACCCCGAUAAACCUCACCGUUCCUAGCUAAUUCAGUCUAUAUACCGCCAUCUUCAGCAAACCCUUAAAAGGAGUACAAGUAAGCACAAUCAUAAGACAUAAAAAAGUUAGGUCAAGGUGUAACCCAUGGAACGGGAAGAAAUGGGCUACAUUUUCUUUAGCAAGAAUAUCCUCACGAAAGACUUUAUGAAAUUAAAGACCGAAGGAGGAUUUAGCAGUAAAUUAAGAAUAGAGAGCUUAAUUGAAUGGGGCCAUGAAGCGCGCACACACCGCCCGUCACCCUCCUCAAGUAACUACAUCAAAAUAUAACAUAUUAACAUUUAUUCACACAAGAGGAGACAAGUCGUAACAAGGUAAGCGUACUGGAAAGUGCGCUUGGCUUAAC
Molecule: ribosomal RNA, 494 nt
Filed under: Spilogale putorius (eastern spotted skunk)
Lineage: Eukaryota; Metazoa; Chordata; Mammalia; Carnivora; Mephitidae
Description: partial 12S ribosomal RNA
Rfam family: Bacterial small subunit ribosomal RNA
Source: RNAcentral